Molecule: ribosomal RNA, 443 nt
Filed under: Salmonella enterica
Lineage: Bacteria; Pseudomonadati; Pseudomonadota; Gammaproteobacteria; Enterobacterales; Enterobacteriaceae
Also listed under: 3 other names
Description: bacterial SSU rRNA
Rfam family: Bacterial small subunit ribosomal RNA
Source: RNAcentral
AAAUUGAAGAGUUUGAUCAUGGCUCAGAUUGAACGCUGGCGGCAGGCCUAACACAUGCAAGUCGAACGGUAACAGGAAGCAGCUUGCUGCUUCGCUGACGAGUGGCGGACGGGUGAGUAAUGUCUGGGAAACUGCCUGAUGGAGGGGGAUAACUACUGGAAACGGUGGCUAAUACCGCAUAACGUCGCAAGACCAAAGAGGGGGACCUUCGGGCCUCUUGCCAUCAGAUGUGCCCAGAUGGGAUUAGCUAGUUGGUGAGGUAACGGCUCACCAAGGCGACGAUCCCUAGCUGGUCUGAGAGGAUGACCAGCCACACUGGAACUGAGACACGGUCCAGACUCCUACGGGAGGCAGCAGUGGGGAAUAUUGCACAAUGGGCGCAAGCCUGAUGCAGCCAUGCCGCGUGUAUGAAGAAGGCCUUCGGGUUGUAAAGUACUUUCAGC